Myiozetetes cayanensis is the source of this 3558-nucleotide long non-coding RNA. RefSeq lists it as uncharacterized. The record is from RefSeq and is a predicted model, not a curated record. The transcript has 3 exons. NCBI's taxonomy places the organism in Eukaryota, Metazoa, Chordata, Aves, Passeriformes, Tyrannidae.
CCUGCCCCUUGGCAUCCUGAGAGCAGCAAGCCAAAAAAUGGCGCACAAUGAACUCGUAGAGUCUCUGCUCGUUGCCCUGACACCAAACAGUGAAAGGAGUCAGCGUUAAUGAGACAUCCAGAAAUCAGUGGGAUCUCAGUUUGCGGGAAGCCAACUUCUCGAGUUCCUGAGGUGGGAAGGGCCAGAAAAAACCCAGAAGCAUUAGUGCAUUAAUUCAGGGUGGUGAGUAAAACAUCUGUUCACAGCUCCUUUUAGAGGAGUCUUUUCCAGAGUUCAAACAUACCACAGUAUCCAGGGGCAGGGGCCUCCAUUUGCUCUUUGGCUUGCUCGCAACCUCAACAACAGUCGCCACCGGAUCCUAAACAGAGUAAGCAAAACCCAAAUCUCCUUUAAGAGUUUGCACAAACCGUUCUUUCAACGUCUUGAUACAGGGAAUGUUUGGCUGACUCUGGAUUACAGAACUAUUUACAAGCCUUCCUACCUCCAUACACAUUUGGUAAAGGACCAGGCACGCCGUGUGGUUGAAGAGCCGGUUCCUCUUCCAGUUGAAGAGCACACUGCCGUCUUCGUGGUCGUGGGUCACUGUGGGGAACAACAGAGCUGGCUGGCAGAGCAGUCACAAAAUGGAAACAUCACAAAAGCACCUGGAAACCUUCCAGUUCUGCUCCGUGGUCCCAGCAGAGGAAGAGGAAACCACCUCUGCAGCGCUGUGUGCUUGUUGCUCCAAUGUUUUUCCUUCCUAUGCACAUCGAACCCUCUGAGAUGGAGCCCAGGGAUGGUUUUCCCCAAACAUACCUUUAAUUUUGUAGAAGGCUUCAGGAACAAAGGCUUGGAUGGCUUUAAAGCGUUCAACUACAAAUCCCAGUGUUGGGAACUGGCAGCUACCAUAGCUGAUCAGCUGAUCUGCUAAAAUAUCGGGGAAGAUCUUCCGCAGCCUCAGCGUCUGGAACCUGGUGAAGGCAGCACCUGGGAAAACAAAAUGGGCACCAGAACUGAAUGCAACAAUGCUGAAUGAUAAUCACAGCACUUCAGAUUAUAUAAUACUCUGAGCAUUCAUUUUACUCUGUUUAAUACUCAGUUGUAGAGGCUUGUCAGUGCUGUGUGGGCCAUAAACUUAAUAUUUGCUUCAAGGAGCAAUUUCCUCCUUUUGGGAGGGAAACAAACCCUUCAGAAAGGGUUGUUAAACAGCAGAAUGGACUGCCCAGGGGGUGGUGGAGUCACCAUCCCUGGAGUUGUUCAAGAAACGACUGGAUGUGGCACUCAGUGCUCUGGUCUAGCUGACAAGGUUGUCAUCGGUCACAGGUUGGACUCGAUGAUCUCGAAGGUCUUUUCCAACCUAAAUGAUUCUCUCAUUCAAAGAGCACGUUUUCCAGUAAAAUGAGAUGCCAUUAAGUUGCAUCUGAUCAAUAAAUCAGGUGUGUGACACCACAGAGGGCAUUUCUGCCUUGUGCUGAGGAUACAGGAAGAGGUGUUUACGGACCUAUCCUGAGGUCCAGCUCCUGCCUGACGUCGACGGCGUCGCUCGUCCUCUGGUCCGGCUGGGUGAGGUUCUCACAGGCUGAUCUGACAGCAUGAAGGGUGAUCUCUGAGAAACGGGCUCGGAAAACCUGGAGGUUUGGCUUUACUGCCAGACAGACACGAGAAAGAAAUCAGACUGACCCAAGCACCAACAGAGAGGAGCAACUGAUAAACAGCUGCCUUCAAAAGGCUGCGCUGCCGACCUGCUCGACAGCUUUCCAACAGCUGAACACAUUUCUGCUUUAUUAGAGCCACAUAUAUUUAUCAGAACUACAGUCAGCAUUCAACCUGGACGCAGUAAGAUUGACAAUACACCUCUGCCAAAAGAUCCCUGAGGGGCUGUUAAGCUUUUAAUGGAACCCAGACUGCUGAAGACGCUCUACGCACCCGCUUUGCACACGUGGAUGAUCUCGAAGCCGAUGUUCUCCCCCUCCCGAUCGCAGUCAGUCCAGAUCACCAGGGCUUGGCACUGCCGGAUUUCUCGCUCAAGGGUUUUCUGAGAGCAGAAAACAACACAGGGAGACAUUCCAGGCCACUCGCUUUGUCAUUUAAUUUUGGAAUGACUCACUGCACACGAAAUGCAACGCGUAUCCAUGGAGAUGGAUUGUUGCAAUAACAUUUGGUAAUUGUGUGUCUCAUGAGAUUAGGCAGCUUUCAAAAGAAUUGAGUCAUUUAUUUAUAUCUAAUUCUGUUAAAAAGCUUGGCUAGGAGCGGGUUGUACCACAAUCUGCUUUCUAAAAAUGUAAUUUUUUUGUAAAACUGAGACACAAUCCCCAAUUCCACCUUGUUGGGAAAAAACAUUUCUAUCUUUAGCAAAGUAGUUGUUCCUUUACUGCACUACUUGUGCAUGAGCGGGAGAGUUUCGAUGUUCAAACAAACAGCAUUAAUAGUCCUAGGAAAUGCAGGGAGAAUCUGCUAAACUGGAAAUUUGGAUGUUAAGGACAAUCAUCCUUCUGCCUGGGACAGCAUUUGUUGAAUCAACCCCUGAACUCAGUUUCAGGGCAACUCUUGACCACGACGUACCUUGAUAUCCAGGCCUAUCUCAGACAACACGGAGUUCAUGUGAAAUGCUGAGUAACACUUAACAGAAUCAAAAACCAGUGCUCUGAAAAAGAGUAAUUUGAAACAAUAUUUUAGUAUUCUCCAUAAAAUUUGGAUCUCAUCACCCUGCUCUGUGUCAGAGUCCCUCCCUGCCCCCUUGUCUUUGAGCUUGCAGCGCCUCAAUCGGCUCAGGGUCAAGAGCAGGAGAUGACAGACCCUUCUUAUGAGGGGCAGGAGGUGACAGACCCCUUCCUGUGGAGCCCUGGAGGUGACAGACCCUUCUCUGCCAAGGGCACGAGGUACCAACCAUUUGCGAAACGGCAUCCUAAACUCGUGAGUCAGUAAGUGUCCUGACACGGAUGUCAUCACCAUGGUAACGGUCUGCAAGAGACGGAGCGAAGUAAUUAGCAAGGUAAUUAGUGCCCAUCGUUCACUAAAAACUACCCACAGCCCCCAAAUCUUCCUCCAGUGCUCAGUUGACACCACCAGUGACGCCUCUCUCCUGUUUAUGACAGAAUCCCAGAAUGGGACCUUAAAGCUCGUCUUGUUCCAUCCCCUGCCAUGGGGACAAGGCUCCAAGCCUAUUCCAGCGUGGCCUUGAACACUUCCAGGGAUUGAAGGGAAACUCCUACCUGGCCAAACAUCUGGUAGUCAUAUUCGUAGAUCUUGUUGAACUUGGAAAACCCUUCUCUCUGGAAGGAAAAGGAGAGCUCCUGAGUUUCUGUUGUCUAACAGAAAACAAAUCCAUCCUGCCUCGCUUUGUACACGCUGCGAUGGAGCACGGGAGGCAGGGAAAACCAGGUCCUGGGGCUGAUGGGAAUUACAGCAGGGGAAUGGAAACUGCCUGUUAUCAUUUUAUGGAGACGCUGAAAUGGUGAGUUCCAAGGUAAGAGUAUUUUAAACCAUCCCUGAAGGUGAUGCCAGGGUUAUCUCCCCACGGAUAAUGAAGAACUGAUUUGUUUAACAGGGCUGGCCAAUGAUCAUGGAAUCACAGAAACU